This 660-nucleotide ribosomal RNA is filed under the name uncultured archaeon. RNAcentral describes it as "bacterial SSU rRNA". It matches the Rfam family "Archaeal small subunit ribosomal RNA", at positions 163 to 817 of the family's 1478-position model. The record is from RNAcentral.
AUUGAAUCUGGACUGAAAGGUUGUGUAAGCAUGUUUUACAUCAUUACUCGGGGAUGGGGCUAUGGCCGAUCAGGCAGUUGGCGGGGUAAUAGCCCACCAAACCUUUGACCGGUACGGGCUUUGAGAGAAGGAGCCCGGAGAUGGACACUGAGAUAAGGGUCCAGGCCCUAUGGGGCGCAGCAGGCGCGAAACCUUCACAAUGAGCGAAAGCUUGAUGAGGCUAUUUCAAGUGCCAUCCGCUAAGGAUGGCUUUUCCUAAGUCUAAAUCGCUUGGGGAAUAAGGGGAGGGCAAGCCUGGUGUCAGCCGCCGCGGUAAUACCAGCUCCCCGAGUGGUCGGGACGGUUAUUUGGCCUAAAGCAUCCGUAGCCGGUCCUGUUAGUCUUCCGUUAAAUCUAACGGCCCAACCGUUAGGCCGCGGAAGAUACCGCAGGACUAGGGGACGGGAGAGGUGGACGGUACUCCAGGGGUAGGGGUAAAAUCCUCUGAUCCUUGGAAGACCACCAGCGGCGAAGGCGGUUCACCAGAACGUGCCCGACGGUGAGGGAUGAAAGCUGGGGGAGCGAACCGGAUUAGAUACCCGGGUAGUCCCAGCCGUAAACGAUGCGAGCUAGGUGACAGAAUGGCCUAAGGACCAUUCUGCUGCCGCAGGGAAGCCGUUA